Molecule: ribosomal RNA, 429 nt
Filed under: Chloroflexota bacterium
Lineage: Bacteria; Bacillati; Chloroflexota
Also listed under: 1 other name
Description: Chloroflexi bacterium partial 16S ribosomal RNA
Rfam family: Bacterial small subunit ribosomal RNA
Source: RNAcentral
UAGGGAAUCUUCGGCAAUGGACGAAAGUCUGACUGAGCAACGCCGCGUGAGUGAAGAAGGUUUUCGGAUCGUAAAACUCUGUUGUUAGAGAAGAACAAGGACGUUAGUAACUGAACGUCCCCUGACGGUAUCUAACCAGAAAGCCACGGCUAACUACGUGCCAGCAGCCGCGGUAAUACGUAGGUGGCAAGCGUUGUCCGGAUUUAUUGGGCGUAAAGCGAGCGCAGGCGGUUUCUUAAGUCUGAUGUGAAAGCCCCCGGCUCAACCGGGGAGGGUCAUUGGAAACUGGGAGACUUGAGUGCAGAAGAGGAGAGUGGAAUUCCAUGUGUAGCGGUGAAAUGCGUAGAUAUAUGGAGGAACACCAGUGGCGAAGGCGGCUCUCUGGUCUGUAACUGACGCUGAGGCUCGAAAGCGUGGGGAGCAAACAGG